AGGACGAACGCUGGCGGCGUGCUUAACACAUGCAAGUCGAGCGGAAAGGCCCUUCGGGGUACUCGAGCGGCGAACGGGUGAGUAACACGUGAGCAACCUGCCCCUGGCUCUGGGAUAGCCUCCGGAAACGGGGAUUAAUACCGGACAUGACCUGCUGCCGCAUGGUGGCGGGUGGAAAGUUUUUCGGCCAGGGUGGGGCUCGCGGCCUAUCAGCUUGUUGGGGGGGUGACGGCCCACCAAGGCGACGACGGGUAGCCGGCCUGAGAGGGCGACCGGCCACACUGGGACUGAGACACGGCCCAGACUCCUACGGGAGGCAGCAGUGGGAAUAUUGCGCAAUGGGCGGAAGCCUGACGCAGCGACGCCGCGUGCGGGAUGAAGGCCUUCGGGUUGUAAACCGCUUUCACCAGGGGCGAAGCGAGAGUGACGGUACCUGGGGAAGAAGCGCCGGCUAACGUACGUGCCAGCAGCCGC
This 474-nucleotide ribosomal RNA is filed under the name uncultured bacterium. Its description in RNAcentral is "SSU rRNA". It matches the Rfam family "Bacterial small subunit ribosomal RNA", at positions 26 to 518 of the family's 1533-position model. The record is from RNAcentral.